CCUACGGGGGGCUGCAGUGGGGGAUAUUGCACAAUGGGGGGAACCCUGAUGCAGCGACGCCGCGUGGGUGAAGAAGCGCCUCGGCGCGUAAAGCCCUGUCAGCAGGGAAGAAAAUGACGGUACCUGAAGAAGAAGCCCCGGCUAACUAUGUGCCAGCAGCCGCGGGAAUACGUAGGGGGCAAGCGUUAUCCGGAUUUACUGGGUGUAAAGGGGGCGCAGACGGCGAUGCAAGCCAGGAGUGAAAGCCCGGGGCCCAACCCCGGGACUGCUCUUGGAACUGCGUGGCUGGAGUGCAGGAGGGGCAGGCGGAAUUCCUGGUGUAGCGGUGAAAUGCGUAGAUAUCAGGAGGAACACCGGUGGCGAAGGCGGCUUGCUGGACUGCAACUGACGUUGAGGCCCGAAAGCGUGGGGAGCAAACAGGAUUAGAUACCCGGGUAGUC
Molecule: ribosomal RNA, 440 nt
Filed under: uncultured bacterium
Lineage: Bacteria
Description: partial 16S ribosomal RNA
Rfam family: Bacterial small subunit ribosomal RNA
Source: RNAcentral